This is a long non-coding RNA of Morus notabilis, 357 nucleotides long. RefSeq lists it as uncharacterized. Lineage: Eukaryota; Viridiplantae; Streptophyta; Magnoliopsida; Rosales; Moraceae. The record is from RefSeq and is a predicted model, not a curated record. The transcript is spliced from 2 exons.
UUGCAUUUAUGAAGUUGUACUUAUUUCUGUAUGGUCUGCAGAAAAGGGCACCAGCUUUGUUGGACAACCUCGUACAGGCCUUCAUAAUGGCUCCAUUCUUUGUGCUGUUGGAGGCUCUGCAGAACUUGUUCCAUUACGAGCCAUACCCUGGUUUCCAUGCUACAGUACAAGCAAAGAUUGAAGCUGAGAUCAGUGAAUGGAAAGAGGAGAAGCAGAAAUUGAUUUCAUAAUCUGUCAUGGGUUUUGUUUUAGUGGCAUAUUAAUUUUACUCGCUCCUGAGAAUGGCAAAACACAAACUAUGAUUUCUGCUUUUUGGCUAUGAAGCUUCAAUGCAACUCUGAUAUAUGAUUUAAUUUU